AUUGAACGCUGGCGGCAGGCCUAACACAUGCAAGUCGAGCGGAUGAGAAGAGCUUGCUCUUCGAUUCAGCGGCGGACGGGUGAGUAAUGCCUAGGAAUCUGCCUGGUAGUGGGGGACAACGUUUCGAAAGGGACGCUAAUACCGCAUACGUCCUACGGGAGAAAGCAGGGGACCUUCGGGCCUUGCGCUAUCAGAUGAGCCUAGGUCGGAUUAGCUUGUUGGUGAGGUAAUGGCUAACCAAGGCGACGAUCCGUAACUGGUCUGAGAGGAUGGUCAGGUCACCUGGAACCGAGACACGGUCCAGACUCCGACGGGAGGCAGCAGUGGGGAAUAUUGGACAAUGGGCGAAAGCCUGAUCCAGCCAGGCCGCGUGUGUGAAGAAGGUCUUCGGAUUGUAAAGCACUUUAAGUUGGGAGGAAGGGCAGCUAGCGAAUACCUGGUUGUCUUGACGUUACCGACAGAAUAAGCACCGGCUAACGCUGUGCCAGCCGCCGCCGUAA
RNAcentral lists this ribosomal RNA (500 nucleotides) under uncultured bacterium. RNAcentral's name for it is "partial 16S ribosomal RNA". It matches the Rfam family "Bacterial small subunit ribosomal RNA", at positions 30 to 523 of the family's 1533-position model. The record is from RNAcentral.